RNAcentral lists this ribosomal RNA (677 nucleotides) under Methanospirillum sp. enrichment culture clone D2CL_Arch_16S_clone2A. RNAcentral describes it as "bacterial SSU rRNA". It matches the Rfam family "Archaeal small subunit ribosomal RNA", at positions 4 to 687 of the family's 1478-position model. The record is from RNAcentral. Lineage: Archaea; Methanobacteriati; Methanobacteriota; Methanomicrobia; Methanomicrobiales; Methanospirillaceae.
CCGKUUGAUCCYGGCAGAGGCCACUGCUAUCGGGGUUUGACUAAGCCAUGCGAGUCGAGAGGUGCAAGACCUCGGCGUACUGCUCAGUAACACGUGGACAAUCUGCCCUGAAGAGGAGGAUAAUCCCGGGAAACUGGGGGUAAUACUCCAUAGUUCGUGCUGACUGGAAUGUUAUGCGAACGAAAGAUCCGUCGCUUCAGGAUGAGUCUGCGGCCGAUUAGGUAGUUGUUGGGGUAACGGCCCAACAAGCCUGUCAUCGGUACGGGUUGUGGGAGCAAGAGCCCGGAGAUGGAUUCUGAGACACGAAUCCAGGCCCUACGGGGCGCAGCAGGCGCGAAAACUUUACCAUGCGGGCAACCGUGAUAAGGAAACCCCGAGUGCCAGCACAGGCUGGCUGUCCACCAGUGUAAAUAACUGGUGAAGAAAGGGCCGGGCAAGACCGGUGCCAGCCGCCGCGGUAAUACCGGCGGCUCGAGUGGUGGCCGCUAUUACUGGGCUUAAAGGGUCCGUAGCUGGAUAUACAAGUCCCUUGAGAAAUCCGCCGGCUUAACCGGUGGGCGUUCAGGGGAAACUGUAUUUCUAGGGACCGGNANAGGUGANAGGUACUGCCGGGGNAAGGANUGAAAUCCUGUAAUCNCGGUGGGACCACCUAUGGCGAAAGUCUCUUCACCAAAACG